GGCAGGCAGACUCAGCUCUUAGGUUCGGUUGCCCAGUAACCAGAGGAUGCACAGAUUUCCAUUUUUACCUUCUUUCUGAUUCAGGAAAGUCUUUUUUUUUUUUUUUUUUUUAAUUCCUUUUUAAACAGAAGGAUUAAAGAACAACACCCCACCCCACCCCACCCUCGCCCUCCACAUUAAGGUCGAACCAAUCCCUUUCACCUGUUGGUGGCUAAAGUGUUUGAAAGGACCCCUGUUUUAAAACAGGUACGCUGUUAGGAAAUCGUCGGGGCAACGUCGGGAUGCAGACAGAGGGUGGUAAGUUCUGCAAAUUUGAGAGUGGUGGUGCUGCUGCCCUAUUCUUGCUUCGCUGUUCAAUGUCACAGCUCUGGGCUUUCCCUUCCCUGGAUCAUCAACAUUUGCAGCGAAGUAAAGGAACAAGAGAGCACCAUUCAACACCAUGCCUCAAGCCAAGGACUUCUAAAGGUCAGGGAGAACCAGCCAGCGUCUUCCUGGCUCCUGUGCCCGGCGUCCCACAAGAUGACCAGGAAUUUCUCAGUCCUGACCCCCCAGUGGGAGUCCUGUUUCCGCCAAGGAGGAGGAGAAGGAACACGGCACCGUGGGAAGACAGGUAGAAAGCCCUCUGAAGUCCCAUGUUUGGAUCCUGAUUCUGUGUGUCAAAGGCAUUUUUAGGAUGCUUUUUGUGAUUUGUUCAAAUAAAAAUCAGAACACACCACAAUACUCUCAGUUGGUUUACCAAUAAGGUAACUAAUGGCUCAUUUCACAUAACGGAUCUUCCAGAAGUGAGGAGGCCUUUGGAGGCGAUGGGAUGCCACUGAGCAGGUAUAUCCUGCCACCCUCCAUUCUUCUACCUUUGUCUACGGGUCAUCGGCAGACCAGCAGUUAGACGGCCGUGGCGUUCGCACAUCUGGCGUUCACAUACAGCAACCACCAGGGGAAGAGAGAGACUGUGUGUCUUUCAGUUCUUUCUCAGGAAUCACAUAGCCUUUUUUCAGGAGGCCCGUGGCAGACAUCCCCACAGAACUGGACAGAAUUGCGUGGAGAGCCUGACUGCCGGCAAGGGAAAUGCAUCAUCGCAAACCUACCAGGUGUCCCCUGGACAUGGAGCUGGGACCAGCUUCCCAGAAGACCCACCUGUGUACAAAAUCUUGGCUUUGGGGCGAAAAAGGUGGAAAUGGAUGCUGGGUAGGAAAGCUCUGUGUUUGCAUUAUGGGGUCCCUUGAGAGCUGGGUGACAGGAGCCUGGAGUUCCAGCCCUAUGUACUUUCGAGUUUCCGCUUAGGGCCUGCCAGGUGGGAAUAGUAAUGUUUUGCCCACUGGAUCUCUCUGUAUGGCAGCUGAAAUUGUAUCUAUGAAAGAACCAUGGAAAGUGGUGUCUUUAUUGUCAGAUCUCUUUAGCUCACCCAGACAUCCUAAUGAGUUUACUGUUCAGUAAUGGUUUUAAGUGUGUUAGUCAAAUUUCCAGUAAGCAUUUAUUGUUCUGUGAUCUAGAUUUGCUAGAAUAUUGGGCCCAUAAUAUGUUCUAUAAUUUUUAGUUGUUGG
RNAcentral lists this long non-coding RNA (1541 nucleotides) under Mustela putorius furo (domestic ferret). RNAcentral describes it as "lncRNA (ENSMPUG00000026197.1)". The record is from RNAcentral. Lineage: Eukaryota; Metazoa; Chordata; Mammalia; Carnivora; Mustelidae.